GGAGAGAUGGCUCAGCGGUUGAGAACCCUGACUGUUCUUUCAGAGGUCCUGAGUUCAAUUCCCAGCAACUACA
Molecule: transfer RNA, 73 nt
Filed under: Mus musculus (house mouse)
Lineage: Eukaryota; Metazoa; Chordata; Mammalia; Rodentia; Muridae
Description: tRNA-Asn
Source: RNAcentral